UGGGGCGUGGUGUAACGGCAGCACGACGGACUCUGGUUCCGUUAGUCUAGGUUCGAAUCCUGGCGCCCCAG
This 71-nucleotide transfer RNA is filed under the name Actinomycetota bacterium. RNAcentral describes it as "tRNA-Gln". It matches the Rfam family "tRNA". Rfam says of the family: Transfer RNA (tRNA) molecules are approximately 80 nucleotides in length. Their secondary structure includes four short double-helical elements and three loops (D, anti-codon, and T loops). Lineage: Bacteria; Bacillati; Actinomycetota. The record is from RNAcentral.